UUUCCGUAGGUGAACCUGCGGAAGGAUCAUUAAAGAGUAUAGAGGCUUCAUGCCUACUAACUCCACCCUUUGUUUACAUACCUUUGUUGCUUUGGCAGGCCCGUCGAAAGACAACCGGCUCCGGCUGGUCAGUGCCUGCCAGAGGACCUAAACUCUUGUUUAAUCAUAUUGUCUGAGUACUAUAUAAUAGUUAAAACUUUCAACAACGGAUCUCUUGGUUCUGGCAUCGAUGAAGAACGCAGC
Molecule: unclassified non-coding RNA, 243 nt
Filed under: uncultured fungus
Lineage: Eukaryota; Fungi
Description: sequence contains ITS1, 5.8S rRNA gene
Rfam family: 5.8S ribosomal RNA (bases 195-243)
Source: RNAcentral